Molecule: transfer RNA, 70 nt
Filed under: Dipodomys ordii (Ord's kangaroo rat)
Lineage: Eukaryota; Metazoa; Chordata; Mammalia; Rodentia; Heteromyidae
Rfam family: tRNA
About the family: Transfer RNA (tRNA) molecules are approximately 80 nucleotides in length.
Source: Rfam by way of RNAcentral
GGGAAAGUGGCUCAGUGGUAGAGUACUUGCCUUGCAUGCAUGAGGCCCCGGGUUCGAUUCCUCAGCACCA